ACUUAAGUAGUUUAAAAAAAAUUCUGAUUUGUGGUGUCAGGGAUAUGGAAUACCAUCUUAGGUC
Molecule: transfer RNA, 64 nt
Filed under: Antarctoperla michaelseni
Lineage: Eukaryota; Metazoa; Arthropoda; Insecta; Plecoptera; Gripopterygidae
Description: tRNA-His
Source: RNAcentral